This 460-nucleotide ribosomal RNA is filed under the name uncultured bacterium. RNAcentral's name for it is "partial 16S ribosomal RNA". It matches the Rfam family "Bacterial small subunit ribosomal RNA", at positions 338 to 795 of the family's 1533-position model. The record is from RNAcentral.
CCUACGGGCGGCAGCAGUGAGGAAUAUUGGUCAAUGGGCGUAAGCCUGAACCAGCCAAGUCGCGUGAGGGAUGAAGGUUCUAUGGAUCGUAAACCUCGUUUAUAAGGGAAUAAAGUGCGGUACGUGUCCCUUUUUGUAUGUACCUUAUGAAUAAGGAUCGGCUAACUCCGUUCCAGCAGCCGCGGUGAUACGGAGGAUCCGAGCGUUAUCCGGAGUUAUUGGGUUUAAAGGGUGCGUAGGCGGCCUUUUAAGUCAGCGGUGAAAGUCUGUGGCUCAACCAUAGAAUGGCAGUUGAAACUGGGAGGCUUGAGUGUGUUUGAGGAAGGCGGAAUGCGAGGUGUAGCGGUGAAAUGCGUAGAGAUCACGCAGAACCCCGAUGGCGAAGGCAGCCUGCCAAGCCAUGACUGACGCUGAUGUACGAAAGCGUGGGGAUCAAACAGGAUUAGAUACCCGAGUAGUC